GUUCGGAAUUACUGGGCGUAAAGCGCGUGUAGGCGGCUAGGUAAGUCGGGGGGGAAAGCCCUGGGCUCAACCUAGGAAGUGCACUCGAAACUUCCGAGCUGGAGUUCUGGAGAGGAAGGCGGAAUUCUCGGUGUAGAGGUGAAAUUCGUAGAUAUCGAGAGGAACACCGGUGGCGAAGGCGGCCUUCUGGACAGCAACUGACGCUGAGACGCGAAAGCGUGGGGAGCAAACAGG
RNAcentral lists this ribosomal RNA (234 nucleotides) under uncultured bacterium. RNAcentral describes it as "partial 16S ribosomal RNA". It matches the Rfam family "Bacterial small subunit ribosomal RNA", at positions 543 to 776 of the family's 1533-position model. The record is from RNAcentral.